AGCGCAGGCGGGAAGACAAGUUGGAAGUGAAAACCAUGGGCUCAACCCAUGAAUUGCUUUCAAAACUGUUUUUCUUGAGUAGUGCAGAGGUAGAUGGAAUUCCCGGUGUAGCGGUGGAAUGCGUAGAUAUCGGGAAGAACACCAGUGGCGAAGGCGGUCUACUGGGUACCAACUGACGCUGAGGCUCGAAAGCAUGGGUAGCAAACA
This 207-nucleotide ribosomal RNA is filed under the name uncultured bacterium. Its description in RNAcentral is "partial 16S ribosomal RNA". It matches the Rfam family "Bacterial small subunit ribosomal RNA", at positions 568 to 774 of the family's 1533-position model. The record is from RNAcentral.